CACGGAGCAAAGCUUCCUCGCUCGGGCAUCUCCAAGGUUUCCGCCUGGGAGCGCAUCCACGGCACUGUCAACUUCGGCACGGCAUCGCGAAAGACAGACACCAGCCACCCGCGACAGGAGACACUGGCGCCGGAGAACAUGCUGGCGUACUUUGUGCCGCGCAGUUAAACAGCAAAAGGCACUGAAUGAAGAGCGCGCGCACACCCGAGCGACGGAGCAAAACAAGGACGAGCGCAGAGGCUUCGGGAACACUUCAGGAGGAGCACCUGGCUAUACUCAAAAGAUCUCAUUAGACUGUGAUGAGCGUCAUCAUCUUCCACAGACUCAAGGAUGUUACCCAAUACCUAUUUCUGUCAACAAUGUGUCCUUCUCCGUGAUCAGUAAUUGCUUUUUAAGAAAACAGACUAAGAACAACUUACACAGUGACUUGGAGUAAUGUAUUGUGUGAUCAUUGAUAUGGUGAAUUUUCUUUGAGAUGUUUAUUAUUGGAAGCAGUUACCAGUGUCAGCGCUUUGUUUUCCAACAAGAUGAAGUCUUCAGGACUUUACACUAUCCAG
This is a long non-coding RNA of Ictalurus punctatus (channel catfish), 557 nucleotides long. NCBI's taxonomy places the organism in Eukaryota, Metazoa, Chordata, Actinopteri, Siluriformes, Ictaluridae. The record is from Ensembl.